AGAGUUUGAUCAUGGCUCAGAACGAACGCUGGCGGCAUGCCUAACACAUGCAAGUCGAACGCUCACCGGGUUUCGGCCCGGUGGGAGUGGCGCACGGGUGAGUAGCGCGUGGGAACCUGCCUUUUUGUGGGGGAUAACCGAGGGAAACUUCGGCUAAUACCGCAUGCGCCCCGGCGAAAGCCGGGGGAAAGAUUUAUCGCAGGAAGAGGGGCCCGCGUCGGAUUAGGUAGUUGGUGGGGUAACGGCCUACCAAGCCUGUGAUCCGUAGCUGGUCUGAGAGGAUGAUCAGCCACACUGGGACUGAGACACGGCCCAGACUCCUACGGGAGGCAGCAGUGGGGAAUAUUGGACAAUGGGCGCAAGCCUGAUCCAGCAAUGCCGCGUGAGUGAUGAAGGCCUUAGGGUUGUAAAGCUCUUUCGCCCGCGACGAUGAUGACGGUAGCGGGAGAAGAAGCCCCGGCUAACUUCGUGCCAGCAGCCGCGGUAAUAC
RNAcentral lists this ribosomal RNA (490 nucleotides) under uncultured bacterium. RNAcentral describes it as "bacterial SSU rRNA". It matches the Rfam family "Bacterial small subunit ribosomal RNA", at positions 8 to 526 of the family's 1533-position model. The record is from RNAcentral.